CCUACGGGGUGCUGCAGUGAGGAAUAUUGGUCAAUGGACGAGAGUCUGAACCAGCCAAGUAGCGUGAAGGAUGACUGCCCUAUGGGUUGUAAACUUCUUUUAUAAAGGAAUAAAACGAGGCACGUGUGCCUUUUUGCAUGUACUUUAUGAAUAAGGAUCGGCUAACUCCGUGCCAGCAGCCGCGGUAAUACGGAGGAUGCGAGCGUUAUCCGGAUUUAUUGGGUUUAAAGGGUGCGUAGGCGGUAUUUUAAGUUAGUGGUAAAACGUCGGGGCUUCACCUUGAUUGGCCAUUAAAACUGGAGUACUAGAGUACAGACGAGGUAGGCGGAAUAAGUUAAGUAGCGGUGAAAUGCUUAGAUAUAACUUAGAACCCCGAUAGCGAAGGCAGCUUACCAGACUGUUACUGACGCUGAAGCACGAGAGCGUGGGUAGCGAACAGGAUUAGAUACCCUAGUAGUC
This 459-nucleotide ribosomal RNA is filed under the name uncultured bacterium. RNAcentral's name for it is "partial 16S ribosomal RNA". It matches the Rfam family "Bacterial small subunit ribosomal RNA", at positions 338 to 795 of the family's 1533-position model. The record is from RNAcentral.